This 1389-nucleotide long non-coding RNA is filed under the name Sinocyclocheilus anshuiensis. RNAcentral's name for it is "lncRNA (ENSSANG00000022048.1)". Lineage: Eukaryota; Metazoa; Chordata; Actinopteri; Cypriniformes; Cyprinidae. The record is from RNAcentral.
UACAGGAAUCCAGCAUCAGCUCAACAUAUAAGUUCCAGUGACAGACUGACAAUUUACUUUCAUGCAGUCUUGUCAAAAGACUUCAAAUUUAACCUAGAAGAAGAUCUUAUCUUCAUAAGGGCCGGUGGUUGCCUUGGUGACUGGGAAAAUAAUUUGGUCGAGCUGUCUGUGUCACGGGAUCUCGGUGAGCAUGGAUUUCUUAUCGAGGGGAAAUUCGUAUGCAAGAAGACCAGUGCAGAAGCUGUGUCCAUACCAUACAAGUAUGUUGUAUAUAAAGCAAAAAAGCAGAAGUAUGAGUAUGAAUACAUCUACAAACUGGAUUCAAAUGAAACCACCAACAGAUGUUUGUUUGUCAAACCACGUCUCCUAAAUGAUGAAGGAGAAUGGCAUCAGUAUGACGAUAUCAUCUGUGUAGAACCUUCUAAGAAUAUGUUGAAACGGCUCAAAGAUGCUUUUUGGCCUGAUCAGAGGAAAGAUGUAAUUCAGGGGAGAGAAAUCGCUGGUAUAGUCAUGCUGGAAACUAUUUUUGACCUCCUGAGAAACUGGGGCAAAAUUAACCUCUACAGCUUCUUUAGUCAGCUGCGACAAUUUUAUGAAGUUUAUGGAAACCCUUUUGUAUUUGAAAAGACAGAAAUGAAGUGGUACUCACUCAAUUACGAUGAAAAAGAUGUGAGCAAGCUUCUGAAGCAGUUCAUGCUUCAGCAGGUGACUCCAGAGUUACAGAAAGACAGCAAAGAAAGGAGUACUUUCAUCAAGGAGCCACUGAAGGCUGCUCUUAUUAUGCUCUAUGUGUGGAAACAGUAUCAUCUAGAAUUAGACAACGGGAUUCUUUCUCGUCUCUGCACUGCCCUUUGCCUGCCGAAAUUACCUAAGGAUGAGUUCCUGUCUUUCUGGGCUGACAUAAUGGAAUCAUUCUCAGUGAUAAAAAACUUGUCUGAGAUGGUGGAGGCACUGAUCCUCAGAGUGAGAGCUGCCAACAUGAUUAGAUGGAUCAUCGUAAUUCCACUACUGCAUCUUCUCAAAGGCACCUCAAAACCAUUUGAGCCAGUGUUUAUUAAGGUCAACCUACAAUUUCAGCAGAACUGGGCUGGACUGCAGGGACUCAAAUCAGCUAAUAUAACUUACCCCGGAAGCCAAGAUAGAAGGGCGAUGUUGAAUCUCAUGGAAACACAUGGACAUUUGGUGGAGGUGGACAAACUGCUGGCCAGAUCUUGGAUGUAUCUGAUGACUAGAUGAGUUGGUCAAGUGCAGCUCCAUCAUCCAUGCAGAACUCUUGGACAUCCUGCAGCUUUUCACCAUGAAAUGUCCCGAUGAUAUAUGCUACAGCACUUCCACCGUGAGUGUCAAGACAUCACAAGAAAUAACCAUAGAGUAUAUUGUACAAACCAU